GAUGAACGCUGGCGGCGUGCCUAAUACAUGCAAGUCGAGCGGUAAGGCCCCUUCGGGGGUACACGAGCGGCGGACGGCUGAGUAACGCGUAGGAACGUACCCCAAAGUGAGGGAUAAGCACCGGAAACGGUGUCUAAUACCGCAUGUGAUCUUCGGAUUAAAGCUUUAUGCGCUUUGGGAGCGGCCUGCGUAAGAUUAGCUUGUUGGUGAGGUAAGAGCUCACCAAGGCGACGAUCUUUAGCUGGUCUGAGAGGAUGAUCAGCCAGACUGGGACUGAGACACGGCCCAGACUCCUACGGGAGGCAGCAGUAGGGAAUUUUCCACAAUGGGCGAAAGCCUGAUGGAGCAACGCCGCGUGCAGGAUGAAGGCCUUAGGGUCGUAAACUGCUUUUAUAUGUGAAGAUUAUGACGGUAACAUAUGAAUAAGGAUCGGCUAACUCCGUGCCAGCCGCCGCAGUAACAC
This 463-nucleotide ribosomal RNA is filed under the name uncultured bacterium. RNAcentral's name for it is "bacterial SSU rRNA". It matches the Rfam family "Bacterial small subunit ribosomal RNA", at positions 28 to 526 of the family's 1533-position model. The record is from RNAcentral.